This 501-nucleotide ribosomal RNA is filed under the name uncultured bacterium. Its description in RNAcentral is "partial 16S rRNA". The record is from RNAcentral.
GCACGGAGUUAGCCGGGGCUUCUUCUCUCGGUACCGUCAUUCUCCCGGGUUGUUCACCCGGAAGCCAUUCGUCUCGAUCGAAAGGAGUCUACGACCCGAAGGUCUUCAUCCUCCACGCGGCGUUGCGUCGUCAGGCUUGCGCCCAUUGCGAACAAUUCCCCACUGCUGCCUCCCGUAGGAGUCUGGGCCGUGUCUCAGUCCCAGUGUGUCCGUCCGCCCUCUCAGGCCGGAUACUGAUCGUUGCCUUGGAGAGCCGUUACCCCACCAACUAGCUAAUCAGACGCGGGCCCCUCUUCAAGUGCUAGGUCUUGCGAUCCCCAGCUUUGAUCUCCACCUCUUCAAAGGCAGGAUGUCAUGCGGUAUUAGCGUCCCUUUCGGGACGUUAUCCCCCGCUCGAAGGCAGGUCACCCACGUGUUACUCACCCGUUUGCCACUCUACUCAUCCCUUGCGGGACUUUCGCGUUCGACUUGCAUGUGUUAGGCACGCCGCCAGCGUUGAUU